CCCUUAGAUGUUCUGGGCCGCACGCGCGCUACACUGAUGCAUUCAACGAGUCUAAAACCUGCUCUGAUAGGGGUGGGUAAUCUUUUGAAUGUGCAUCGUGAUUGGGAUAGAUGAUUGCAAUUUUUCAUCUUCAACGAGGAAUGCCUAGUAAACGCAAGUCAUCAGCUUGCAUUGAUUAUGUCCCUGCCCUUUGUACACACCGCCCGUCGCUCCUACCGAUUGAAUGAUCCGAUGAAUAUCAUGGAUUGAGGAUGUAAGCAGGUUCGCCUGUCUUCAUCUUCGAGAAGUGAAGUAAAUCUUAUCAUUUAGAGGAAGGAGAAGUCGUAACA
Molecule: ribosomal RNA, 329 nt
Filed under: uncultured eukaryote
Lineage: Eukaryota
Description: partial 18S ribosomal RNA
Rfam family: Eukaryotic small subunit ribosomal RNA
Source: RNAcentral